This 292-nucleotide ribosomal RNA is filed under the name uncultured bacterium. Its description in RNAcentral is "partial 16S ribosomal RNA". It matches the Rfam family "Bacterial small subunit ribosomal RNA", at positions 505 to 796 of the family's 1533-position model. The record is from RNAcentral.
GUGCCAGCAGCCGCGGUAAAACGUAGGACGCAAACGUUAUCCGGAAUUACUGGGCGUAAAGGGCGCGCAGGCGGUCGGGUAAGUGAGGCAUGAAAGACCCAGGCUAAACCUGGGGAAGCUGUCUGAGACUGUCCGACUAGAGUGCGAUAGAGGGGUGUAGAAUUCCGCGUGUAGUGGUGAAAUGCGUAGAGAUGCGGAGGAAUACCAGAGGCGAAGGCGGCACCCUGGAUCGUAACUGACGCUGAGGCGCGAAAGCAUGGGUAGCGAACGGGAUUAGAAACCCCUGUAGUCC